ACUAACCUUUGGACUCUUUUCAACUGAGUGUGGUCUGCCAUUGUAUUUUCAUGUUAACAUUUAAUUUCUAGGCCAUUGUUUGGAGAGUUAGGAUCUUCUAAUUGAAGAAUUUUUAGGGCAUGCCCCAUCCCCUCAUCCAUAGUGGAGCCAAUUAGAUCAAUGCUCUUGAUCAAUGAACGAUGGGCUAAUGUGUAUGGGAUUUUAAAAGUUAGUAAACUAUACAUUUGUUCAUGGGCCGUACAGUUCCUCUUCAUAGAAAUGAAGUCAAGGAGUAAUUAACAUUGAUUUUCCUUUUUGUUUUCCUUAACUCAUUGAUUAUAAUCAUUUCUUGUUAUCAAUUGGAUUUCUUUGAUUCAUUACACUCAAUUUAGGGAUGGUUUGCACCAAUUCAAGAGACUGUACAUUUAGACAUUCAAUAUAUAAGACUGGAGUGAGACUGAUUAGGCAUUUAAAUGUGUUGCAGGAUGUUGUUUGAAUUACUUGUCCUAACAGGUGCACAAGUUGGGAUGGAUUGGACUUCUAUCUUGAGAAAACGCCAUGAUUUCAGGUUUGAUGCAGAAAUCCUCGCCAACUUCACAGAAAGACAAAUAGCAUCAGUGGCCACAGAUUGCAACCUGGAUUUAAAUAAGGUUCGAGGUGCCAUCAACAAUGCUAACAGAAUCCUCCAGAUCAGAUUGUUGAUUGGACCUUAUUUUAUUUAAAUGAUCUUGAUAAUCCAUUUUAUUUAAA
This is a long non-coding RNA of Magnolia sinica, 729 nucleotides long. RefSeq lists it as uncharacterized. The transcript is spliced from 2 exons. NCBI's taxonomy places the organism in Eukaryota, Viridiplantae, Streptophyta, Magnoliopsida, Magnoliales, Magnoliaceae. The record is from RefSeq and is a predicted model, not a curated record.